Molecule: long non-coding RNA, 1131 nt
Organism: Apis dorsata (giant honeybee)
Lineage: Eukaryota; Metazoa; Arthropoda; Insecta; Hymenoptera; Apidae
Exons: 3
Source: RefSeq, a predicted model, not a curated record
UUUUUUUUUUUUUCUCUUUCGUUCGUAAGAAAGUGUGUCGUCUGCUCAAAGCGUAAUAAGUCGAGAUACAUUUUUCACUUUUUUUCUUACUCUUCAUUAACUUGAAUAUUAAUGGAUUAAUUUUACUUCGAACGUUAAUUAAAUACAAAAAAGAAAUGGGAAUACGGUUAAACCUGUACUUCCUUCUUCGGUAUUAUGAAAAAUGAUACGACACGGACAAAAUAUGUACGCUCACUAGUUCUUUAACAAUCGUGUAUUUAUCAUUUUUGAUUAGUGAAAUAAAACACGUGCGAGUGUAUCGGAUUACUUCGUCUUACAUUCGCUUUAAUAAGCUCAAUCGACAAUCGUUACAGCAACGAUAAUAUCUAAACACAGACUUACGAAAACAAUGAAUCGUAUCGUCGUUCUCGGGACUGGCAGCGGUAUAACUGCAAGUACAAAUGCAGAAGAGUUUCCUUUUUGUGUCGCGAAUGGUGUCGCAACGACUCUGCCGAUCGAGCGCCAUACCGAUCAAGCAAUACAGCUCGUCACCACGCGUUCAUAGUGUCGAGUCGACUCAAAGGGUGGAUGGAAAGCAGGCUAGUUGGUGAGAAAGGAGGUGGAACAAUCGGGCAAAUUUCCUCUGAUACUGAUUAUAGCAUGGCAAUAGCAUUGGUUAGAUUUGAAUUCGAGUUCGCAAAGGAUUCCUUGCCACGAUGAGGUGUGCAUAAUUAAAGAAUGCAGAGAUAAAUUUAGAGGUAAAUCGAAUGGAUAUGUAAUUUUUCGUUCAUAAUUUGGUAAGUUAAGAGUGGUAAACAAGUUUUCUUAUUAUUAAAAUGUAAUUUUGAUAUUUUCGCGUGUGUAUAUGCGCGCGCAUCUUUUCGUGCUUAACGCGAUUACGAAGGUUAAUUAAACGCUCUACGAUUAUUAGGUCCAGUUUCCAAACUCAUCAGGCUAAUGGUCGAUGUUAUAAUUAUCGAUGCUUGGACGAAAUGUUAUUUUUGGCAUCGUUCGUGUUGAAUACACCGAGACGACAAAUCAUUUUCGAUCACGAGGAAAUAGUAAAUGUUAAUCGAAUGAAUCCUUAAAGUUUUUCCGAUUUUAAUGGGAGAAUUCAACGAAGUAACAUAAAUGAUCUAAAAAAUAUCAUAG